GGGGUGAAAGGCCAAUCAAACCGGGAGAUAGCUGGUUCUCCCCGAAAGCUAUUUAGGUAGCGCCUCGUGAACUCAUCUUCGGGGUAGAGCACUGUUUCGGCUAGGGGUCAUCCCGACUUACCAACCCGAUGCAAACUACGAAUACCGAAGAAUGUUAUCACGGGAGACACACGGCGGGUGCUAACGUCCGUCGUGAAGAGGGAAACAACCCAGACCGCCAGCUAAGGUCCCA
This 232-nucleotide ribosomal RNA is filed under the name Klebsiella pneumoniae. Its description in RNAcentral is "partial 23S ribosomal RNA". It matches the Rfam family "Bacterial large subunit ribosomal RNA", at positions 818 to 1049 of the family's 2925-position model. Lineage: Bacteria; Pseudomonadati; Pseudomonadota; Gammaproteobacteria; Enterobacterales; Enterobacteriaceae. The record is from RNAcentral.